RNAcentral lists this long non-coding RNA (199 nucleotides) under Elaeis guineensis (African oil palm). RNAcentral describes it as "long non-coding RNA (EGUI_LNC040805)". The record is from RNAcentral. Lineage: Eukaryota; Viridiplantae; Streptophyta; Magnoliopsida; Arecales; Arecaceae.
GCCUCUGCGGAUCAUCCACACGAAGCUCCCGUUUGAUCAGCUCCUCACGAAUGCUAGUUCGUGAUUUCACCCUUUUGAUGGCAGAUGUUGAUCGAACUCAUUCGAUCAAUGUGUGCCGACUCUUCGGAUGCUUCGGAUCAUUUGCACGGUUGCUUGAGAGGCUGAUGGAUCUCUCUCUAAAAUUUGGUGGACUCACGAC